UACGUAGGGUGCGAGCGUUAAUCGGAAUUACUGGGCGUAAAGCGUGCGCAGGUGGUGAUGUAAGGCAGAUGUGAAAUCCCCGGGCUCAACCUGGGAACUGCAUUUGUGACUGCAUCGCUGGAGUGCGGCAGAGGGGGAUGGAAUUCCGCGUGUAGCAGUGAAAUGCGUAGAUAUGCGGAGGAACACCGAUGGCGAAGGCAAUCCCCUGGGCCUGCACUGACGCUCAUGCACGAAAGCGUGGGGAGCAAACGGGAUUAGAUACCCUGGUAGUCCACGCCCUAGACGAUGUCAACUGGUUGUUGGGUCUUCACUGACUCAGUAACGAAGCUAACGCGUGAAGUUGACCGCCUGGGGAGUACGGCCGCAAGGUUGAAACUCAAGGGAAUUGACGGGGACCCGCACAAGCGGUGGAUGAUGUGGUUUAAUUCGAUGCAACGCGAAAAACCUUACCCACCUUUGACAUGUACGGAAUCCUUUAGAGAUAGAGGAGUGCUCGAAAGAGAGCCGUAACACAGGUGCUGCAUGGCUGUCGUCAGCUCGUGUCGUGAGAUGUUGGGUUAAGUCCCGCAACGAGCGCGACCCUUGCCAUUAGUUGCUACGAAAGGGCACUCUAAUGGGACUGCCGGUGACAAACCGGAGGAAGGUGGGGAUGACGUCAAGUCCUCAUGGCCCUUAUAGGUGGGGCUACACACGUCAUACAAUGGCUGGUACAGAGGGUUGCCAACCCGCGAGGGGGAGCCAAUCCCACAAAGCCAGUCGUAGUCCGGAUCGCAGUCUGCAACUCGACUGCGUGAAGUCGGAAUCGCUAGUAAUCGCGGAUCAGAAUGUCGCGGUGAAUACGUUCCCGGGUCU
This 852-nucleotide ribosomal RNA is filed under the name uncultured bacterium. RNAcentral's name for it is "bacterial SSU rRNA". It matches the Rfam family "Bacterial small subunit ribosomal RNA", at positions 524 to 1381 of the family's 1533-position model. The record is from RNAcentral.